This 87-nucleotide transfer RNA is filed under the name Roseicyclus elongatus DSM 19469. RNAcentral's name for it is "Roseibacterium elongatum DSM 19469 tRNA". It matches the Rfam family "tRNA". Rfam says of the family: Transfer RNA (tRNA) molecules are approximately 80 nucleotides in length. Their secondary structure includes four short double-helical elements and three loops (D, anti-codon, and T loops). Lineage: Bacteria; Pseudomonadati; Pseudomonadota; Alphaproteobacteria; Rhodobacterales; Roseobacteraceae. The record is from Rfam by way of RNAcentral.
GGAGGAGUGGCAGAGUGGUCGAAUGCACCGGUCUUGAAAACCGGCGUGCGUGAAAGCGCACCGUGGGUUCGAAUCCCACCUCCUCCG